CCUACGGGUGGCAGCAGUGGGGAAUAUUGGGCAAUGGGCGCAAGCCUGACCCAGCAACGCCGCGUGAAGGAAGAAGGCUUUCGGGUUGGAAACUUCUUUUGUCAGGGAAGAGUAGAAGACGGUACCUGACGAAUAAGCAUCGGCUAACUCCGUGCCAGCAGCCGCGGUAAUACGGAGGAUGCGAGCGUUAUCCGGAUUUAUUGGGUUUAAAGGGUGCGUAGGGGGUUUUUUAAGUUAGUGGUUAAACGUCGGGGCUUCACCUUGAUUUGCCAUUAAUACUGUAAGACUCGAGUUCAGACGAGGUAGGCGGAAUAAGUUAAGUAGCGGUGAAAUGCUUAGAUAUAACUUAGAACUCCGAUAGCGAAGGCAGCUUACCAGACUGCGACUGACGCUGAAGCACGAGAGCGUGGGUAGCGAACAGGAUUAGAUACCCGAGUAGUC
RNAcentral lists this ribosomal RNA (441 nucleotides) under uncultured bacterium. Its description in RNAcentral is "partial 16S ribosomal RNA". It matches the Rfam family "Bacterial small subunit ribosomal RNA", at positions 338 to 795 of the family's 1533-position model. The record is from RNAcentral.